UGGGGAAUUUUGGACAAUGGGCGAAAGCCUGAUCCAGCAAUGCCGCGUGUGUGAAGAAGGCCUUCGGGUUGUAAAGCACUUUUGUCCGGAAAGAAAUCCUUGGCUCUAAUACAGUCGGGGGAUGACGGUACCGGAAGAAUAAGCACCGGCUAACUACGUGCCAGCAGCCGCGGUAAUACGUAGGGUGCAAGCGUUAAUCGGAAUUACUGGGCGUAAAGCGUGCGCAGGCGGUUUGCUAAGACCGAUGUGAAAUCCCCGGGCUCAACCUGGGAACUGCAUUGGUGACUGGCAGGCUAGAGUAUGGCAGAGGGGGGUUAGAAUUCCACGUGUAGCAGUGAAAUGCGUAGAGAUGUGGAGGAAUACCGAUGGCGAAGGCAGCCCCCUGGGCCAAUACUGACGCUCAUGCACGAAAGCGUGGGGAGCAAACAGGAUUAGAUACCCUGGUAGUCCACGCCCUAAACGAUGUCAACUAGUUGUUGGGGAUUCAUUUCCUUAGUAACGUAGCUAACGCGUGAAGUUGACCGCCUGGGAGUACGGUCGCAAGAUUAAACUCAAAUGAAUUGACGGGGUCAUAGCUGUUUCCU
RNAcentral lists this ribosomal RNA (584 nucleotides) under uncultured bacterium. Its description in RNAcentral is "partial 16S ribosomal RNA". It matches the Rfam family "Bacterial small subunit ribosomal RNA", at positions 355 to 1375 of the family's 1533-position model. The record is from RNAcentral.